ACAAAUUCCAUUUUCUUUUUCUUUUUUUUUUUUUUAUCACGCGACGAAAGCUUCACAUUUAUUGCACAUGGCAAUUAAAACUCAAUGAAACCACGUCAUACAUGGGCCUGCACCAUAUGCAAAUAUUUGUCAGCCUUCAUCCUCCAUUUCAUCGAAAGAGAACAAGUGCAAAGGGUUUCCUGUAUGAGGCCAUCCAUUCCCUGGACUUGCACAAAUCCCCUUAAAACCUCUGGAGCCAGUCUGGGUGUAUCAGGCCCCUGGAUCUGCUGUGUGCAGGGGUGGGUGGUGGCCUGUGGUCCGGAGCCG
Molecule: long non-coding RNA, 306 nt
Organism: Syngnathoides biaculeatus (alligator pipefish)
Lineage: Eukaryota; Metazoa; Chordata; Actinopteri; Syngnathiformes; Syngnathidae
Exons: 3
Source: RefSeq, a predicted model, not a curated record